Molecule: transfer RNA, 69 nt
Filed under: Myotis davidii
Lineage: Eukaryota; Metazoa; Chordata; Mammalia; Chiroptera; Vespertilionidae
Rfam family: tRNA
About the family: Transfer RNA (tRNA) molecules are approximately 80 nucleotides in length. Their secondary structure includes four short double-helical elements and three loops (D, anti-codon, and T loops). Further hydrogen bonds mediate the characteristic L-shaped molecular structure. tRNAs have two regions of fundamental functional importance: the anti-codon, which is responsible for specific mRNA codon recognition, and the 3' end, to which the tRNAs corresponding amino acid is attached (by aminoacyl-tRNA synthetases). tRNAs cope with the degeneracy of the genetic code in two manners: having more than one tRNA (with a specific anti-codon) for a particular amino acid; and 'wobble' base-pairing, i.e. permitting non-standard base-pairing at the 3rd anti-codon position.
Source: Rfam by way of RNAcentral
GGCCAUGUAGCUCAGUUGGUUAGAGUGUUGUCCUGAUAUGCCAACAUUAUGGGUUUGAUCCCCAAGCCA